UGUUUUUGAGCAAAAAUCUUAAUCAGUGCAAAAACCUCAAAUGCAGAGGAGUAAAAAGUAUCGAUAUUUAAGCCUGAAAUGCAGCAGAGCAGAAGUAGAAAUAGGCAUUGAUAAAAACUGCUCAAGUAAAAUAAUGUAACUCAAGAGUAAAGAGUUCAAAGUUUGUCAUUUUAAGUAUUAAAAAAUACAAAAAAUUGAUAAAAAAAAAAAAAAAUCAGACAUCUCCAACAUCUGAGAUUCACUCUGAAAGCAGACGAACUAUUGUAGGAUCAACACCCACACACUCUACUUACCAUUCAAGUCCCUGUGUCCUUUUUCAUGUCUCAGGUCCACCAUCCGAAAUGCCAAGAGCAUCCACAACAAGUCCCGCCAGCGGCUCAGCCAGGACACCUACCGCAGGAACAGCCGUCGAUACCUCCAGCAGAAGGGCAGCCGCAUUGCAGAGCCGCACAGGAACUCCAAGAACACUGCAAAGUCGCCGCUGAUGGAGAGGAAAAACCAGGACAACAUUCCCGAGACGUCCAGCUCCAGUUCGGAGAGCGAGCUGAAGAAGGAGGCUCCAGUCAUCCCUCCCCGUCCAAGUGCGGAGCUCAUCAUGGAGCGCUGCAGCGACAACACCCGCAAGAAAGUCAGCAUCCACAAGUCACGCUCCAGUUCCACCAGCUAGCAUGGGAAUGUAUAGUAUAUUGUAAAAGUUAUAACCAAAUAGCUGUUUAUGAUACAUAAGUAGGUUACCAUAUUUUAUAUAGGUAAGAAAAUUGCUAAAAAAUAUUGAAACUACUUUAUCCUUUGAUUAUGACUUUAUUGUUAUUUAGAAAUAACAAAUGUUAUUCUAUAUUUUCUUAUUGUCGAUAAAUCCGGUGAAAAGAAAAAACAACAUGUCUGGCUGUCAUAUCAAGACAAACACUGUGGCAAACAGCUAUAAACUAAGUGCAACAUGUUAUGUCUUUAAAACAACAAGACAUCAUGUUAAGGUGGGCUAUGUGCGGGACUAUUUCUUGACUGUUGCCCGUGAACCAGUGGAGACUAAAGGAAGUUACUGGUACGAGGCAAAAAAUAGUCUGAAUCAUAACCCCCAUAAAAUGACAAAAUGUAGUUUUGACACUUAGUUUAACUGUACGAAUUAAAUAAAGUACAAGUUAAUAAUUGAGCUUUACAGAUUUACUUACCUUCCGUUAACCCUAAUUUUCUUGUCUUUAUGCAACGCUAAGCUAAGCCGUGCUGACUUUAGUUGCAUGUUCGUUUUUUUUAGAAAGUGCAAAAAGUAUUUUUUGUAUAUGUCAAACUAUUCCUUUAAAACAUGAUCACCAAAAACAACAUUUAUUAUUGAGAUGUCAAGUUAGCUUACCUACAACCUUACCUUGCAGUGCUUGCUUUUUCAGCUCUACCUCACUGUUAGUUGCUAUAUUUUAUAAGCUAUAUUUUGUUUAAGGCAAAAGGUGAAUAUACUUUGUACCGUUAUUAUGAUUUUUAGAGUUUUCUUUACGGAGAAAAUAAUUACAUUUCUGUUUGUGACUUCUGUGUGGCAGGUAUUACAUCUAUUUCCAAGCAUCUAUAGAGCUUUGUUUUAAUUUAUUCGCUUAAUAAUUGUAUAUAAUCAUGAAACAAAAUGUUUAUUUCUGCAGUCUUUCCUCAAAUUAUUCUCAUUUUUUCAAUAUAAGGUAUCAGUGCCUAAUAUGCACACACAAAUUCUCACUUUGGAGGUGUAUUAAAAACCUGUGCUUAUAGAUUCCAAAUUCCUCCCAGGGAUCAAUAAAAUAUUUCUGAUUCAAAUUUUUA
Molecule: non-coding RNA, 1779 nt
Organism: Plectropomus leopardus (leopard coralgrouper)
Lineage: Eukaryota; Metazoa; Chordata; Actinopteri; Perciformes; Serranidae
Source: RefSeq, a predicted model, not a curated record